UGCUGUGGCUCAAUGGUAGAGCACUUCACUCGUAAUGAAGUGGUUGCGAGUUCGAUUCUCGCCAGC
This 66-nucleotide transfer RNA is filed under the name Mogibacterium diversum. It matches the Rfam family "tRNA". Rfam says of the family: Transfer RNA (tRNA) molecules are approximately 80 nucleotides in length. Their secondary structure includes four short double-helical elements and three loops (D, anti-codon, and T loops). Further hydrogen bonds mediate the characteristic L-shaped molecular structure. tRNAs have two regions of fundamental functional importance: the anti-codon, which is responsible for specific mRNA codon recognition, and the 3' end, to which the tRNAs corresponding amino acid is attached (by aminoacyl-tRNA synthetases). tRNAs cope with the degeneracy of the genetic code in two manners: having more than one tRNA (with a specific anti-codon) for a particular amino acid; and 'wobble' base-pairing, i.e. permitting non-standard base-pairing at the 3rd anti-codon position. Lineage: Bacteria; Bacillati; Bacillota; Clostridia; Peptostreptococcales; Anaerovoracaceae. The record is from RNAcentral. RNAcentral also lists the same sequence under 1 other name.